Molecule: ribosomal RNA, 498 nt
Filed under: Triticum aestivum (bread wheat)
Lineage: Eukaryota; Viridiplantae; Streptophyta; Magnoliopsida; Poales; Poaceae
Description: partial small subunit ribosomal RNA
Source: RNAcentral
AUGGAUAAGACCGGCCCCCUCCUCCCCAAAACCCUAGCAUCCCCUUUUCUUCCCUCUCGUGCCCCUGCCUCUCCUGCUCAACGCUCGUGCAAAGCCGUCACCGCCGCCUUCGUCGAUUCCACGGCCACCGGCCUCCUCUCGCCACGCCAAGACAUCCAGGAGCUCCUCCCUCGUCAUCUCCUUUGCCCGCGCAUAAGGGCCCGAGCUGGGAGGCCCCGUACGCUCGCCAUCGCCGUCGUCUUCGCCCACGGCCGCCGCAUCUCGUCGUCGAGUUCUUCGUGUCCGGCCACCCCCGCGCUCCCUGACCAUGUCCACAAGCUCCACGACCCCGAGACCGAUGCCGCCCCUGUGAUCGUCUACGUCGUCGACGACACUUCUUCCUUUACAGCAGAGCUUCCAGAUGGUGGAGCCCAGGAUCCAGACGCCACCUUCGACGACGACUACUACUACCCCGAGGGUGCCUACUACUACGUGAUGGCCGCUGACGACUUGGAGUAG